Molecule: long non-coding RNA, 1716 nt
Filed under: Salmo salar (Atlantic salmon)
Lineage: Eukaryota; Metazoa; Chordata; Actinopteri; Salmoniformes; Salmonidae
Description: lncRNA (ENSSSAG00000110986.1)
Source: RNAcentral
AACAUUAUCAACCUAUACAACUAAACACAACAUUAUCAACCUGCUACAACAUUAUCAACCUAUACAACUAAACACAACAUUACCAACCUGCUAAAACUCAACACAACAUUACCAACCUGCUACAACUAAAUACAACAUUAUCAACCUGCUACAACAUUAUCAACCUGUACAACUAAACACAACAUUAUCGACCUGCUACAACUAAACACAACAUUAUCGACCUGCUACAACUAAACACAACAUUACAACCUGCUACAACUAAACACAACAUUAUCGACCUGCUACAACUAAACACAACAUUAUCGACCUGCUACACAGAGAGGAACCAAGCAUAAAUGUCUUUUUCCAUUGAUUGAAAAUAGCUGUCACUGCAGGGGGAUGUUUGUAGCCAUCUUUUCAUUUUAUUUUCUCCUUCAUGUGGGAACAUCUAUAAUAUUAGACCCAUCUCUUUAUUCUCUUGAAUGACCUGUACAGACCAGGGUCUGUACCGACCCCGAGCUGGACUGAGGAGGUUUUAUACAGACCAGGGUCUGUACCGACCCCGAGCUGGACUGAGGAGGUUUUAUACAGACCAGGGUCUGUGAUCAACCAAGAUGGACUGAGGAGGUUUUAUACAGACCAGGAUCUGUACCGACCCAGAACUGAACUGAGGAGGUUUUAUACAGACCAGGGUCUGUACCGACCCAGAGCUGGACUGAGGAGGUUUUAUACAGACCAGGGUCUGUGAUCAACCAAGAUGGACUGAGGAGGUUUUAUACAGAUCAGGGUCUGUAUCGACCCCGAGCUGGACUGAGGAGGUUUUAUACAGACCAGGGUCUGGACUGAGAAGGUUUUAUACAGACCAGGGUCUGUACCGACCCAGAACUGGACUGAGGAGGUUUUAUACAGACCAGGGUCUGGACUGAGGAGGUUUUAUACAGACCAGGGUCUGUACCGACCCAGAACUGGACUGAGGAGGUUUUAUACAGAACAGGGUCUGUACCGACCCCGAGCUGGACUGAGGAGGUUUUAUACAGACCAGGGUCUGUACCGAGCUGGACUGAGGAGGUUUUAUACAGACCAGGGUCUGUAUCAACCCCGAGCUGGACUGAGGAGGUUUUAUACAGACCAGGGUCUGUACCGACCCCGAGCUGGACUGAGGAGGUUUUAUACAGACCAGGGUCUGUAUCGACCCAGAGCUGGACUGAGGGGUUUUAUACAGACCAGGGUCUGUACUGAGCUGGACUGAGGAGGUUUUAUACAGACCAGGAUCUGUACCGACCCAGAACUGGACUGAGGAGGUUUUAUACAGACCAGGGUCUGUAUCGACCCAGAGCUGGACUGAGGAGGUUUUAUACAGACCAGGGUCUGUACCGACCCAGAACUGGACUGAGGAGGUUUUAUACAGACCAGGGUCUGUACCGACCCAGAGCUGGACUGAGGAGGUUUUAUACAGACCAGGGUCUGUACCGACCCAGAGCUGGACUGAGGAGGUUUUAUACAGACCAGGGUCUGUACCGAGCUGGACUGAGGAGGUUUUAUACAGACCAGGGUCUGUAUCAACCCCGAGCUGGACUGAGGAGGUUUGAUACAGACCAGGGUCUGUACCGACCCAGAGCUGGACUGAGGAGGUUUUAUACCUGGUCUGUGUUCAACCAAGAUGGAAGAGGAACGACUCAAACAUCCGAAUCUUAGUGCCAAGGUUACCGUGGAAACAGAGGAGGGGAACUGAUUUGU